Non-coding RNA from Bactrocera oleae (olive fruit fly), 546 nucleotides. NCBI's taxonomy places the organism in Eukaryota, Metazoa, Arthropoda, Insecta, Diptera, Tephritidae. The record is from RefSeq and is a predicted model, not a curated record.
UUAGUUUUAGAGAAAUAUCUUAACGUAAAAAUAUUUGUGGGUUAGCAAUAAAUUUUAAAAACUUUUAAAUUAAACAUAUAAAAUGCACAUAUCGCCAUAAGGAUCACUGAACUCUAAGUUUUCAGAAUUUAGUUGCUUAAAAUUUAUUAAAUACUCUAAAUGGAGUUUAAAAUAAAUAGAAUCCGGUUGUACACAAUUCAUUCAAUACUAGGUCGUUGCAGCGAUUGUCGUAGAUGAGCUGUAUCGAGUUAAUAUUUUCCACCUUAUUGUGAUAAAUACUUUAAGAAUUGCCUAAUAUUUGCUGAUGACAUGCAUAUCACUGGAGGAGGCUGUUGGUGACGAGUUUGCGGCAUAUUGAAUUAUGAAUGAGCACUUAAUAAAUAUUGAAAAAUUCGGGAUUACUUGAAUGACACGUUGAAUAUAGAAUGUAUACACAGAUAAACUUUAUAUGGACAGAAGAUCUUUCUUGAGGAACCUUGUAUGUAAUGGCGGUACAAAAAAUAUGCGGCGAAACGAGAAAUUUUUAGUGAAAAUCAGAAGUCGCCG